AACGAACGCUGGCGGCAUGCCUAACACAUGCAAGUCGAACGAUUGCCUUCGGGUGGUAGUGGAGCACGGGUGCGUAACGCGGGGGAAUCUGCCCUUAGGUUCGGAUUAACAGCUGGAUACGGCUGCUAAUACCGGAUGAUAUCGCGAGAUCAAAGAUUUAUCGCCUGAGGAUGAGCCCGCGUUGGAUUAGGUAGUUGGUGGGGUAAAGGCCUACCAAGCCGACGAUCCAGAGCUGGUCUGAGAGGAUGAUCAGCCACACUGGGACUGAGACACGGCCCAGACUCCUGGGGGAGGCGGGAAAGGGGAAUAUAGGACAACGGGCGCAAGCCUGAUCCAGCAAGGCCGGGUGAGUGAUGUAGGCGCUAGAGAUGUAAAGCUCUUUUACCCGGGAAGAUAAUGACGGUACCGAGAGAAUAAGCCCCGGCUAACUCCGUG
RNAcentral lists this ribosomal RNA (435 nucleotides) under uncultured bacterium. RNAcentral's name for it is "partial 16S ribosomal RNA". It matches the Rfam family "Bacterial small subunit ribosomal RNA", at positions 29 to 507 of the family's 1533-position model. The record is from RNAcentral.